GCGGGGAUGGCGGAAUUGGUAGACGCACUGGAUUUAGGUUCCAGCGCCGCAAGGUGUGAGAGUUCGAGUCUCUCUCUCCGCACCA
RNAcentral lists this transfer RNA (85 nucleotides) under Rheinheimera nanhaiensis E407-8. RNAcentral describes it as "tRNA-Leu". It matches the Rfam family "tRNA". From Rfam's summary of the family: Transfer RNA (tRNA) molecules are approximately 80 nucleotides in length. Their secondary structure includes four short double-helical elements and three loops (D, anti-codon, and T loops). Further hydrogen bonds mediate the characteristic L-shaped molecular structure. tRNAs have two regions of fundamental functional importance: the anti-codon, which is responsible for specific mRNA codon recognition, and the 3' end, to which the tRNAs corresponding amino acid is attached (by aminoacyl-tRNA synthetases). tRNAs cope with the degeneracy of the genetic code in two manners: having more than one tRNA (with a specific anti-codon) for a particular amino acid; and 'wobble' base-pairing, i.e. permitting non-standard base-pairing at the 3rd anti-codon position. Lineage: Bacteria; Pseudomonadati; Pseudomonadota; Gammaproteobacteria; Chromatiales; Chromatiaceae. RNAcentral also lists the same sequence under 4 other names. The record is from RNAcentral.